Molecule: long non-coding RNA, 614 nt
Filed under: Zonotrichia albicollis (white-throated sparrow)
Lineage: Eukaryota; Metazoa; Chordata; Aves; Passeriformes; Passerellidae
Description: lncRNA (ENSZALG00000015187.1)
Source: RNAcentral
UGAAAAUCCUGCAUCCUGGAUCCUUGCACUUCCCUGCAGGAACAGAGGAAAUGUCUGUGAAGCUCUUUAUGAAGCUACGGAACAAGGGAAGAAAGCCCUGGGUCCCCCAGCCUCCUCACACAGGCAUGGCAAGUCAACUGGAAAUUCAGAGUACCAGGAGGGAAGUCCAGACUUAUUUUGCAGAGGAAGGUUCUGCUGUGAAAAGUCCUGUGCAUCUCUCAGUGGUUUCACCUUGCACUCAGGUUUUAGGAACAUUUGCUGUCCUAAAUGAGUACCUUAUGUCAGAAAUUUCCACAGACACAUCACUCUGAGAUAUGCAGAUGAGGAUUUCUGAGACAGCAUGUGAUAAGAACCUGCCCUUGGAAAUAGAGAAUAUCUGCAAGCAAGUGGAAUUUUUGAAUGGUCUCAUUAUCCUUAGGAUUUUUCCUUACACAGGCCUGUGGGAAUGUGCACUGCAGCAAAUGUAAAUGAAGACACUUAUUUUUCAUAACCCUAUGGCUACAUGAUAAAUGCAAAAUGUUGUUGUCCCCUUAGAACAAAAAAUACGGUUUACCUCUUGGUAGUUUUCAGGAAACCAUUUAGUGUUUUGGCAGUGAGAUGUUAAGAGGAGUUUC